GGGAUGAUGGCCGAGUGGUUUAAGGCGGUAGAUUUAAGCUCUACUGGAGCAAUCCGCGUGAGUUCGAACCUCACUCAUCUCA
RNAcentral lists this transfer RNA (82 nucleotides) under Opeltia flavorubescens. RNAcentral's name for it is "tRNA-Leu (TAA) (tRNA-Leu-TAA-1-1)". It matches the Rfam family "tRNA". From Rfam's summary of the family: Transfer RNA (tRNA) molecules are approximately 80 nucleotides in length. Their secondary structure includes four short double-helical elements and three loops (D, anti-codon, and T loops). Lineage: Eukaryota; Fungi; Ascomycota; Lecanoromycetes; Teloschistales; Teloschistaceae. The record is from RNAcentral.